UACGGGGGGGGCAAGCGUUGUUCGGAAUUACUGGGCGUAAAGGGCUCGUAGGCGGCCAACUAAGUCAGACGUGAAAUCCCUCGGCUUAACCGGGGAACUGCGUCUGAUACUGGAUGGCUAGAGUUUGGGAGAGGGAUGCGGAAUUCCAGGUGUAGAGGUGAAAUGCGUAGAUAUCUGGAGGAACACCGGUGGCGAAGGCGACCAACUGGACUGAUACUGACGCUGAGGUGCGAAAGCGUGGGGAGCAAACAGG
This 253-nucleotide ribosomal RNA is filed under the name uncultured bacterium. Its description in RNAcentral is "partial 16S ribosomal RNA". It matches the Rfam family "Bacterial small subunit ribosomal RNA", at positions 524 to 776 of the family's 1533-position model. The record is from RNAcentral.